AUAACAAGUAACCAACAGCAACAUCAGCAGUUCCACCAGUCCACCUCCCACUGGCUUCCUCUCCGCCGAUUGCUGCCGUCUGCCAACACCGCGACGUCCUUCCUCUCCCCUGCUCGGCUGCUCGGCUGCUCCGCCUCUGCCGAUUGCUGCCAGACACUUUGUUUUUCUUAUUCGAAUCAGCGAUUAAGCUUUUGAUGUUUUAUUGCUACCGAAACAAUUCUAGCAGUGCAUCAAAGAGGACGCUGGGAAUGAUCGAAGGGGAAAACGUCUUUUGUACAGUUGCACAGUAGGAUACCAACGCAACUGGAAGCCGUAUGAAUAGAAGCCACAUCACCUAACAAAAUAUCUUUUGCACAGGUUAUGCAACUAACAUAACUUGCAAUCAUAACAUGAGAUGUUGUUUUUUGGUAAAACUUAUGUAAUUAAGUAACUUUGACGAGGAUGUAACUAGCAAACGGCUUAGCAGAAAUAUAAAUAUAAUCCCGCCGCAUUGCG
Molecule: long non-coding RNA, 495 nt
Filed under: Helianthus annuus (common sunflower)
Lineage: Eukaryota; Viridiplantae; Streptophyta; Magnoliopsida; Asterales; Asteraceae
Description: sRNA HanXRQr2_Chr09g0379681
Source: RNAcentral